CUCGAUGAGUAGGGCGGGACACGUGGUAUCCUGUCUGAAUAUGGGGGGACCAUCCUCCAAGGCUAAAUACUCCUGACUGACCGAUAGUGAACCAGUACCGUGAGGGAAAGGCGAAAAGAACCCCGGCGAGGGGAGUGAAAAAGAACCUGAAACCGUGUACGUACAAGCAGUGGGAGCACAGGUUUACCUGUGUGACUGCGUACCUUUUGUAUAAUGGGUCAGCGACUUAUAUUCUGUAGCAAGGUUAACCGUAUAGGGGAGCCGAAGGGAAACCGAGUCUUAACCGGGCGUUAAGUUGCAGGGUAUAGACCCGAAACCCGGUGAUCUAGCCAUGGGCAGGUUGAAGGUUGGGUAACACUAACUGGAGGACCGAACCGACUAAUGUUGAAAAAUUAGCGGAUGACCUGUGGCUGGGGGUGAAAGGCCAAUCAAACCGGGAGAUAGCUGGUUCUCCCCGAAAGCUAUUUAGGUAGCGCCUCGUGAAUUCAUCUCCGGGGGUAGAGCACUGUUUCGGCUAGGGGGCCAUCCCGGCUUACCAACCCGAUGCAAACUGCGAAUACCGGAGAAUGUUAUCACGGGAGACACACGGCGGGUGCUAACGUCCGUCGUGAAGAGGGAAACAACCCAGACCGCCAGCUAAGGUCCCAAAGUCAUGGUUAAGUGGGAAACGAUGUGGGAAGGCCCAGACAGCCAGGAUGUUGGCUUAGAAGCAGCCAUCAUUUAAAGAAAGCGUAAUAGCUCACUGGUCGAGUCGGCCUGCGCGGAAGAUGUAACGGGGCUAAACCAU
This 787-nucleotide ribosomal RNA is filed under the name Salmonella enterica. RNAcentral describes it as "partial 23S ribosomal RNA". It matches the Rfam family "Bacterial large subunit ribosomal RNA", at positions 404 to 1190 of the family's 2925-position model. The record is from RNAcentral. Lineage: Bacteria; Pseudomonadati; Pseudomonadota; Gammaproteobacteria; Enterobacterales; Enterobacteriaceae.